GUGAUCUUCAGCCUCUGGUGUUCUCAGCAGUGACUUUGUUUCUUCAUCUUUAACAUAGCAUUGAUCAAACUGCUCAGGGCCUUUUCUGUCAUUGAUGCUGUGGAGUAGGACAUGUGAAACACAUUCUUACAGGAGGCCCUGUGAAUCCAGUGCCGCCUCUUCCACUCAGGAUGGUGAAAGGGCCCUGCAACAGCUCCUCUCUUGCUGCAGACCAGGGAGCUGUAGCAAUCACACAGCUCAGGUUCAUCUCUUCAGCUAUUCCAGGCCAGAGGGAAGCCUGCUACUGCACUCUGCCUGGAAUCCUCCUCCUCCUUAUUUAAUACAGAUUUUGCUGAAGGUUAAUGUUACCAUUUCAUUUCUAGGUAACAGAAAAUGCAGGUGGGAUUGUGCACAAAUCUUUAUGGUACUUAUGGCACAGAACUGGAAUAUAUCACAGUCUCUGAGGUGCACACAAUGGCUUUCAUUUUCAAAACAGCCACACUAUGUAGCCCAGGUUGGCCUUGAACUUUGUUAUUCCUGUUUCCACCACCUGAGUGCUGCCAUUACAUGUAUGUGCCACCUUGCCUGGCUUAUUGUGUCUCUUUGAGCAGAUGGUAAUAUCAUUUUUUCUGUGAAAAAUAAUUGCAUUGUGAUAAGUAUAAAAACAUUAGGAGAAUAUGGGAGCUUAAAUAUAAAUGCCAAUUAUCAAUGCUAUUAGCUGUACCAGUUAGAGUUUACCCCUUGGCUGCAAACCCCAGCAAAUUUCUUCUCUACCUGUGGCUCUUUGCUACUCUGCCACCAGAGGGCACUGUAGGACGCAUUCUCUCUAGAGGACCAGGGACUAUUCCUGCCUGCUGCCUUCACAGUGCCUCCUUAGGUUUCCUGUGAAGUCCCUGAAACCAGCCACACUUCAUACUGGCCGCUGCAGUUCCCUUCCCUUAGAGGCAGCUGAAUUUAAAUUUCCUAUUUGAAGAGCCUGUUUUAUUAAACAUAACCUUGGAACAUCAGCACCAGACAGUUAUCCGUUCUCAGAAGUCUGCAGUUUCAACUCUCCAGGGGUCCUCUGAGUUUCUCAGCUUUGGUCAUUCCAGUCUCUGUUCUCCUGUCUGCUACUGAGCAUCAUUGUCACACAGGUUCCCCGGCUUCCUGUCUAAAUUGCCUGUUCAAAACCUUUGCUCAUUUUUCUUUUCAGUUUUGCUUACUGGUUUGUUUAUGAACACUAAAUAUUUUUAGCUCAGAUUUUAUUUGCAUUAUAUACAUAUUCUUUUUCAAAAAAUAAAAACUUUUAUUUAUGUGCAUGUUUAUAUGAGUGUAUGUUAUGUGUGUGCUGAUUCCUAUGGAGGCCAGAAGAGAGAGUGGGAUUCCCUGGAGCUGGCUGGAGUUUCAGGUAGUUGUGAACUGCCUGAUAUGGAUGCAGGGAACCAAACUCUGGUCCCAUGUAAGAACACCACUCAACUAAUGAACCAUCUCUCCAGCCCCCACACGCAUAAUCUUAAAAGUUUAGGGAUCAUUUUCCUCUUUGAAUUUUAAAUCUAAUUUUGUUUUUUGGGUUUUUUUUAUUUUGUGGUAGCAGUGUUGGGUUUUUGUGUAGUAGUGGGUUUUUUGUUUGUUUUCCAGGAUAGGGUUUCUCUGUGUAGCCCUGGCUGUCCUGGAACUCACUUUUGUAGACCAAGCUGACCUCAAACUCAGAGGUUCUCCUGCCUCUGCCUCUGGAGUGCUGGGUUAAAAGGUGUGGUGCCACCACCCAGCUCUCUUUUUAAACAUCAAAAGACUGUUUCUCACCUCCCACUAUGUGCCUUCAUCUUGCCUGGUUUCUUCCUUUGGUUUCAUUUUAUGACUUGCAACAACGUUUCUGUCUUUAUAAACUGAGCUGCCAGAAAUACUGUCCCAGUGACUUUAACCUUCCAGUCAAAGCUAUUAAAGGCUGGAGAAAUCAGUUUAGUGGCUCAGUUAAUAUUUUUAAAAACGGAGGAGCUGGAGAGAUG
This 1964-nucleotide long non-coding RNA is filed under the name Cricetulus griseus (Chinese hamster). RNAcentral describes it as "lncRNA (ENSCGRG00000024630.1)". The record is from RNAcentral. Lineage: Eukaryota; Metazoa; Chordata; Mammalia; Rodentia; Cricetidae.